This 301-nucleotide ribosomal RNA is filed under the name uncultured bacterium. RNAcentral's name for it is "partial 16S ribosomal RNA". It matches the Rfam family "Bacterial small subunit ribosomal RNA", at positions 509 to 807 of the family's 1533-position model. The record is from RNAcentral.
CAGUAGCCACGGUAAUACGUAGGUGGCAAGCGUUGUCCGGAAUUAUUGGGCGUAAAGGGCUCGCAGGCGGUUUCUUAAGUCUGAUGUGAAAGCCCACGGCUCAACCGUGGAGGGUCAUUGGAAACUGGGAGACUUGAGUGCAGAAGAGGAGAGCGGAAUUCCAUGUGUAGCGGUGAAAUGCGUAGAUAUAUGGAGGAACACCAGUGGCGAAGGCGGCUCUCUGGUCUGUAACUGACGCUGAGGCUCGAAAGCGUGGGGAGCAAACAGGAUUAGAUACCCCUGUAGUCCCUGUCUCUUAUAC